AGUGAACGCUGGCGGUAGGCCUAACACAUGCAAGUCGAACGGCAGCACAGUAAGAGCUUGCUCUUACGGGUGGCGAGUGGCAGACGGGUGAGGAAUACAUCGGAAUCUACUUUUUCGUGGGGGAUAACGUAGGGAAACUUACGCUAAUACCGCAUACGACCUACGGGUGAAAGCAGGGGAUCUUCGGACCUUGCGCGAUUGAAUGAGCCGAUGUCGGAUUAGCUAGUUGGCGGGGUAAAGGCCCACCAAGGCGACGAUCCGUAGCUGGUCUGAGAGGAUGAUCAGCCACACUGGAACUGAGACACGGUCCAGACUCCUACGGGAGGCAGCAGUGGGGAAUAUUGGACAAUGGGCGCAAGCCUGAUCCAGCCAUACCGCGUGGGUGAAGAAGGCCUUCGGGUUGUAAAGCCCUUUUGUUGGGAAAGAAAAGCAGCAGGUUAAUACCCCGCUGUUCUGACGGUACCCAAAGAAUAAGCACCGGCUAACUUCGU
This 491-nucleotide ribosomal RNA is filed under the name uncultured bacterium. Its description in RNAcentral is "partial 16S ribosomal RNA". It matches the Rfam family "Bacterial small subunit ribosomal RNA", at positions 29 to 506 of the family's 1533-position model. The record is from RNAcentral.